Non-coding RNA from Brachypodium distachyon (stiff brome), 187 nucleotides. Lineage: Eukaryota; Viridiplantae; Streptophyta; Magnoliopsida; Poales; Poaceae. The record is from RefSeq and is marked provisional.
ACUUCCUUCUGCCAUUUUGCAAUCGAACAAAUCCUUAGUUACCUCAUAACGUUCGGACCUUGUUGCUGAUACAAAGCUUUGAUAGCUUUGCUGUCUAGAAUAUUAUCUUGGAGCUAAACACUUUGUUUCAGCAGUAAGCAAGGUUUGAACUAAGGCCUUGUUCGAUUGCAAGAUGACAGGUUAGUUC